RNAcentral lists this ribosomal RNA (829 nucleotides) under uncultured bacterium. RNAcentral describes it as "bacterial SSU rRNA". It matches the Rfam family "Bacterial small subunit ribosomal RNA", at positions 28 to 850 of the family's 1533-position model. The record is from RNAcentral.
GAUGAACGCUAGCGGCAGGCCUAACACAUGCAAGUCGAGGGGCAGCAUUUUUGUAACUUGUUACAAGAGAUGGCGACCGGCGCACGGGUGCGUAACGCGUAUGCAACCUACCUAUAACAGGGGGAUAACACUGAGAAAUUGGUACUAAUACCCCAUAUUAUUAUUAAAGGCAUCUUUGAUAAUUAAAAGUUCCGGCGGUUAUAGAUGGGCAUGCGUUGUAUUAGAUAGUUGGAGAGGUAACGGCUCACCAAGUCGACGAUACAUAGGGGGACUGAGAGGUUAACCCCCCACACUGGUACUGAGACACGGACCAGACUCCUACGGGAGGCAGCAGUGAGGAAUAUUGGUCAAUGGACGCAAGUCUGAACCAGCCAUGCCGCGUGCAGGAAGACGGCUCUAUGAGUUGUAAACUGCUUUUGUAUAGGGGUAAAACUAUCCACGUGUGGAUAGCUGCAAGUACUAUACGAAUAAGGAUCGGCUAACUCCGUGCCAGCAGCCGCGGUAAUACGGAGGAUUCGAGCGUUAUCCGGAUUUAUUGGGUUUAAAGGGUGCGUAGGCGGUUAGAUAAGUUAGAGGUUAAAUAUUAGGGCUCAACCCUGGUCUGCCUCUAAUACUGUUUGACUAGAGAUUAGUUGCUGUGGGCGGAAUGAGUAGUGUAGCGGUGAAAUGCUUAGAUAUUACUCAGAACACCGAUUGCGAAGGCAGCUCACAAAACUAUAUCUGACGUUGAGGCACGAAAGCGUGGGUAGCGAACAGGAUUAGAUACCCUGGUAGUCCACGCAGUAAACGAUGAUAACUCGUUGUCGGCGAUAUGAUAGUCGGUGACUAA